RNAcentral lists this ribosomal RNA (506 nucleotides) under uncultured bacterium. RNAcentral describes it as "partial 16S ribosomal RNA". It matches the Rfam family "Bacterial small subunit ribosomal RNA", at positions 29 to 523 of the family's 1533-position model. The record is from RNAcentral.
AGUGAACGCUGGCGGUAGGCCUAACACAUGCAAGUCGAACGGCAGCACAGGAGAGCUUGCUCUCUGGGUGGCGAGUGGCGGACGGGUGAGGAAUACAUCGGAAUCUACUUUUUCGUGGGGGAUAACGUCGGGAAACUUACGCUAAUACCGCAUACGACCUACGGGUGAAAGCAGGGGACCUUCGGGCCUUGCGCGAUUGAAUGAGCCGAUGUCGGAUUAGCUAGUUGGCGGGGUAAUGGCCCACCAAGGCGACGAUCCGUAGCUGGUCUGAGAGGAUGAUCAGCCACACUGGAACUGAGACACGGUCCAGACUCCUACGGGAGGCAGCAGUGGGGAAUAUUGGACAAUGGGCGCAAGCCUGAUCCAGCCAUACCGCGUGGGUGAAGAAGGCCUUCGGGUUGUAGAGCCCUUUUGUUGGGAAAGAAAUCCAGCUGGCUAAUACCCGGUUGGGAUGACGGUACCCAAAGAAUAAGCACCGGCUAACUUCGUGCCAGCAGCCGCCGUAA